This 195-nucleotide signal recognition particle RNA is filed under the name Chlorocebus sabaeus (green monkey). RNAcentral's name for it is "Metazoan signal recognition particle RNA". It matches the Rfam family "Metazoan signal recognition particle RNA". Rfam says of the family: The signal recognition particle (SRP) is a universally conserved ribonucleoprotein. It is involved in the co-translational targeting of proteins to membranes. The record is from Rfam by way of RNAcentral. Lineage: Eukaryota; Metazoa; Chordata; Mammalia; Primates; Cercopithecidae.
GCCGGGCGUGGUGGCGGGUGCCUGUAGUCCCAGCUACUUGGGAGGCUGAGGCAGGAGAAUAGCUUGAACCCAGGAGGCUGAGCUUGCAGUGAGCCGAGAUCGCGUCACUGCACUCUAACCUGGCGGGAGGUUGCAGUGAGCUGAGAUCACACCACUGCACUCCAGCCUGGGCGACAGAGCGAGACUCCGUCUCAA